GCCCACUCCCCAGGGCUGCCUGGGGUCACCCCCAAAUCUUGCUCCCAAGGCCUGCCUCUGGGGGCCCAGGCCCAGAGGCCAGAGGCCGCCUCAGCAAUCCUGAAGCAGACAGCAGAUGGCAGCCUUGGAUCAGCCCUUUCUGGCUGUUUCCAGGCUCCAGCUGAAGGUGGAAGGGUGGUUCUGCUGUGUUCUCUUCCUUGGAAUUUCUGGGAAAACCACGAGCGGGACUAGAACCCAAAAUCUUCAUUCCAUCGUCAAUGAAAGCCAAAGACACCUGGACCUUGGAAACAGUCUGAGCCUUCCUGAUGGAGAGCGGAUGAGGACCGGAGGGAAAGGGACACCGGACUUUGGAAACAGUCUAAGCCUUCCCGAUGGAGAGUGGAUGAGGACCGGAGAGAAAGGGCCCUGAGAAAGUAGGCUGCUGCCCUGGAUCCCAGACCCAACCAGAGUGGCACAGAGUCCUCCAGAACAGAGCGUGCCCCCGGGAGAGCCACCGGCCCUGCUGCACCUGCUGGGGUGUCCCUGCUGUUCACCCUCCCUGGGCUCCUGGACCACAGCGGGGCAGAGUGGAGGAGGAGGUGUGCACAGAGGCACCAUUGUUGUGGGAAGCAGUUUGUUGGUGAGGAGGGAGCUGCGGUCCUGCAUGACAUCCACACGUGUGACAUCCACACGCGUGAAAUCAGCACACACGCGUGACAUCCACACGCGUGACACCCACAUGCGUGACACCAGCACACACGUGACAUCCACGCACAUUCAGACAGGACUAGCACAAGAACCGCACGGAAUGACCACAGAGGGUCUUGGCGGGAACGGAAAACAAGCUGCCUCCAACCUCGUGCAGCCUCUUUUUCCUCCAGAUCAUCGCUAAGUCCUCCCAGGGCUGGUGUGCCCGAGAAGCAGGAGGGUUCCCGAGAGCAGCUUUUUGCUCCCAGGAGUGGCAGGUUCCUGCCGCCUGACAGGCUGCUCGCGGAGGAGGCUGGAGCCAGCACAAACGCCAUGUCUUGUCGAGACCUUCACUAGAGUCUCUCCGGUUGUUUUUUUUCUCGAGAAAAAUAUUGGAAAAUUGGUGAAAAUAUUUACAUCGAUUUUAUCUCUUUAUCUUGGUUUGACUUUUUUAUUCUCCUUUAAGUUGAUUCAUUUUUAGUGAAGUGCAAAAUAAAUUCUCAUGUUUGAAGUUUUGGAAAAGUCUGCAGUCCCAGGGAGGUGAUGGGUUAAAUGCUGUUUGUUGACUGUGGACUGCAGAUGGCUCAGCUCUUACCUUGACAAGGACGGUGAGGACGGCAGACAUGGGCGCCCGGCUGCUGUGCCUCCCUCCCUGCCUGGCUUCUGCCUGAUGCUGCUGCUGAGCCCCCGAAUUGCCUCACCAGACCCCGUCCACCCAGACACUGGGAGCCCAUGGCCAAACUGGUGUGUCUUGCAUUAAAAAUAAAACCCAUUUAUGACAUCUGA
RNAcentral lists this long non-coding RNA (1452 nucleotides) under Homo sapiens (human). RNAcentral describes it as "non-protein coding lnc-NPIPB11-3:1". Lineage: Eukaryota; Metazoa; Chordata; Mammalia; Primates; Hominidae. The record is from RNAcentral.